Molecule: ribosomal RNA, 273 nt
Filed under: uncultured bacterium
Lineage: Bacteria
Description: partial 16S ribosomal RNA
Rfam family: Bacterial small subunit ribosomal RNA
Source: RNAcentral
UACGUAUGGGGCAAGCGUUAUCCGGAUUCAUUGGGCGUAAAGCGCGCGUAGGCGGCUUGUUAAGUCAGAUGUGAAAUCCGGGGGCUCAACCCGCGGCUUGCAUCUGAAACUGGCAGGCUUGAGUCUGGUAGAGGAAAGUGGAAUUCCUGGUGUAGCGGUGAAAUGCGCAGAUAUCAGGAGGAACACCAGUGGCGAAGGCGGCUUUCUGGGCCACGACUGACGCUGAGGCGCGAAAGCUAGGGGAGCGAACAGGAUUAGAUACCCCCGUAGUCC